CACUAUUGCUUGAUAUUAACUUAAUACUCUAUUACUUGUUAUAUUUUGCACUUAAAUAGUCUCUUGGUUCUCUUAUACUAAAAUGUCUUUAUGAAACCAAAACAUAAAUAAACUAGAUAUGUCUAAUCAUGAGUCUUGCAGUCUGCUCGUCGUUUUGUUAUUACUUCUUUAGUUCUUUGAUAAAUAGCUUACAAAUUCUUUCAAUUGGUCGGCUUUAGCUUAUUUCAUGUAUUGAAUAAAUGGUUGUUUAUGGCAGUUUUUUGUCAAUUAGUGUGAUAAUCAGGUCUACGCUUUUUUUCUUUCAAUGUGUUUUUGUGCAUUGAGAAUCUUUUCUCCAGAAAUCAGGUAUGUCUUUUUUUAUUUUUCUAUAUAGCCGAGAUUAUUGUGCCAUAGUUGUUGUUUAGAAACUUAAACAUAAUCUCACUAUAGUUGAACUUUAGCUAAAUAUCUUAUUAUCAAUAUGCUUUCUUCCAAUGAGCUAUCAAAAUGGUUGUAUUAGGAUAGAUCACACCCUUUUCAACUGAUCUGUUUAUUUUGAGCUCUUCAAGAUGGUCAUAUUUGGACCUUUACCAUCCGGUCUUUUGAGGCAAAUCACCCAGAGCGCACCAUUAGUGUGAGUUAUGAUGGUUUUGCUGAAGAUGUUGAAGUGGGUAAUGAACUUCUUGUGGAUGGGGGUAUGGUCUUCUUUGAGGUUGUUGAGAAAGUUGGCCCUGAUAUCAAGUGUUUGUGCACUGAUCCUGAUUUAUUGUUGCCCCGCGCUAAUCUGGCAUUGUGGAGGAAGGGAAGACUGGUUCAACAAGGUAACAAUAUGCUCCGAACAAUCACAUCUAAGGUUGGAUAUUGAUUUUGUGGUAGCCGAAGGCGUGGAUUCUUCCAGUCUCAUUCUGGCCCUUUAGGAAAGCAACUGAACUUCGAGUUGGAGCUGUAUUAUCAUUCCCCUUUUGCUGAAGGGGGAAACCAAACUAUUAUGUGUUUGUGGAUGCAGGUGGUGAUGCAGUAUGUGCAUUGUGAAUUUUUGGUGUUAUGAUUAUAAUGCUCAUAGGUAGAUAUGAGAUACUACUAAGAAUCCAGUAAUGUUGUGUUCUAAUUAGGACUCAAUUAUCUAGUGUCUUCUGUUUACAUGUACUAAACAACAAUCUACUACUAUUUGUUUGUGCGAUUUAUCUAUUCUUAUUUGUGUGCGUGCACGCAUGUUCAAUUCAUUGUUUUCUUUUUAAAUCUAAUUGUUUUAUGCUCCUUCCAGAAUGUUUUUUCCAAGUAAAAACUGAACUUUCAUUUUUGAUGUGCAGGGAUGUUGUUGUAAUUGCUAAAAUUGAGAGUGUUGAUUCGCUGAAGAACUUGGAAGAGAUCAUACGAGCUUAUGAUGCGGCUAUGGUGCUAGAGGAGACAUGGGUUCACAUAUACCUCUGGAGAAGGUUCCAUUUGCUCAGCAGAGAAUUGUUCAUCUGUGUAGGGAACUCAAUAAGCCCGUAAUUGUUGCCUCUCGGCUCCUUGAAUCCAUGAUUGAGUAUCCCAUACCUACUAGAGCUGAAGUUGAUGAUGCAUCUGAAACAGUUCGGCAACAAGCUGAUUCAUUGAUGCUCUCUGGUGAAUCUGAAAUGGGUCUAUACCCUGAAAAGGCAUUAGCUGUUCUUAGGAAUGCAAAGAGGACAAGCUUAGCGAAGAAUUGGAACUUCCCAACAAUAUAUCAACUUCAUUGCUGGCUGUUAUAAAAGAAGAGAUAUGCUCUUCUGCUGCUAAAAUGGGUGAUCAAUUGUUGGUUCUCCUUAAGAAGGUGGCUCCACUAUUGGCUACAGGAUUUUGGGAGCUAGAUGUAGGAAACAUGACUUCCACAUGAAAUGCUCCUCUGAUAUUUAUUCUGUUGCACGAUGCCUUUGUGUGUUUGACAUGUUGUAUUUGAACUUUAACUUUAUAUUUUGAUGUUUGAAUAGACUAAAAGAGACUAUUGCA
Long non-coding RNA from Beta vulgaris subsp. vulgaris (sugar beet), 1950 nucleotides. RefSeq lists it as uncharacterized. The record is from RefSeq and is a predicted model, not a curated record. Lineage: Eukaryota; Viridiplantae; Streptophyta; Magnoliopsida; Caryophyllales; Amaranthaceae. The transcript has 3 exons.